This 274-nucleotide ribosomal RNA is filed under the name uncultured bacterium. Its description in RNAcentral is "partial 16S ribosomal RNA". It matches the Rfam family "Bacterial small subunit ribosomal RNA", at positions 81 to 349 of the family's 1533-position model. The record is from RNAcentral.
AAGUUUGAUGGCGACCGGCGCACGGGUGAGUAACACGUAUCCAACCUGCCGAUGACUCGGGGAUAGCCUUUCGAAAGAAAGAUUAAUACCCGAUGGCAUAGUUCUUCCGCAUGGUAGAACUAUUAAAGAAUUUCGGUCAUCGAUGGGGAUGCGUUCCAUUAGGUUGUUGGCGGGGUAACGGCCCACCAAGCCUUCGAUGGAUAGGGGUUCUGAGAGGAAGGUCCCCCACAUUGGAACUGAGACACGGUCCAAACUCCUACGGGAGGCCAGCAUG